Molecule: long non-coding RNA, 5500 nt
Organism: Marmota monax (woodchuck)
Lineage: Eukaryota; Metazoa; Chordata; Mammalia; Rodentia; Sciuridae
Exons: 2
Source: RefSeq, a predicted model, not a curated record
CCUUAAGACUUCCACGUCACUGUGACGAGAAGCGCGGUUUUCGUCAUUUUGGUUUAUUUUCGCUUGUCUGUUUUCUCGCUUUUGUGCCCCCUGCGCCAGGAGGACGUCUUAACUGCCACGGAAAGGUUUUCUGCGCUGUCCAGCCCCCGGGAGGGAGACUGAGAAGCUGGCUUCUCUGUUGGGCGGCAUGCUUCUGUGCUGGGAGCCUCAGGCAGCUCCAAAAUAUUGGCGGUCCUUGAUGACCCUAAGUCUGGGUGUAAGGGUCAGUCUUAGUGUCCUCGCUUCGUGGUUACAGAACGGGUAAUUGUCAGCAGCAGGAGCUCAAGAGGAGUGCAAAGCUGUGACGGCCCUUGUUUUCAAAUCUCACCGAACAGCUGGUUGUAGGCGCUGCUUUCUACUAGAUCGGAUCCCGGCCACAUUGCACCUUGAUGUCUAACCUCACUCAGAAUGGUAGCCUCAUUGUAGCUGAAGCCCGCACCAGCAUAUUUUUGAGCCUUUGGUUGACAACUGUGCCUGAAGAUCUAGGGGGCACUGUAGUGUCUGCCUGAAGUUUUGCCCAUCUUGAUUGCUUUUCCUGAGAUCUUGCAUCUUAGGUUUCUCCAUACCUUUCAAUUGGAUGGUUUUCUGGUAUAACAAGAGGUUAAGGGACCCAGACAGUCUGUUAAAAUCCCAGAAAGGCGAAAUCAAGAUUUGUCUUCUGGAAGUAGAACAAGAUCUUGAAACCAGUUUCUAACAUUUUGUCUUUCUUGGGUAACUUUUCUGAAGUUUGGAUAAUGCUGUUAUCAUCAGUGACUAGAAGUUAUCAGGUAGAUCAGGGCAACUAGGUAAAUGAGGCCUGACCCACUGAUUUUGUGAGCUAGGAGUGUUUUUACACUGUCAAAUGAUUGGGAAAAGAAAUCAAAAAAUGAGUAUUUCCUGAUAGGUGAAAAUUACAUGGUAUUUAAGUUUUAUUGUUCAUAAUUUGUGUGUGUUCAAUUGAGUUUGGCCCAAAUCAGUCUCCAUGCUGGAAUGAUAAAGUUCUCCCCAGAGUGGCUUCUAUAUAUAUAGUGAACAGUAUCUUGAUAUAUAAACAAAUUUUGUUAUUAGGCAGUUGAGUCUCAGUUGAUUAGCAGUGGGACCUCUGGCCAAUCAAGUUUUUUUUUUUCCUCUGUCAUUUUCUUUUCACUUUAAACUAUAAAUAUAGCUUAUACAUGUGCAGUGGGGUAUUCUAUUUGGAACCAGCUUUCAUCUGGAAUGUUGCUUGGUCCUAGAACUUUUUUCAUGCUGAAAUAAGUUUAACUCAUCUCAGAUUUUUAAUAAUUGGAAUGCAACACAUUUAUUUUUAUAUUGUCUUUUACUGAUUUUACUGUACAACAGUAGAGUUGAGUAGUCAUAAGUAUCAUCAUAUGGUUGCAAGGCCUAAAAUAUUUAUUGUUUAGUCUUUUGCAGAAAAAUGUUGCCAUUGAGAUGGAGAAGAAAUGUCUCUGAAGAAGGAUCUGAGGAGUUCCCAGAGAGAAGGAGGAAAUUGACUCUGGACCACUGGGGUUCUUGUUUUUCGGCGGACACAGCAUCUUUGUUUGUACGUGGUGCUGAGGAUCGAACCCAGGCCGCACGCAUGCCAGGCGAGCGCGCUACCGCUUGAGCCACAUCCCCAGCCCGCAACCCCACUCUUGAUACCACUUUCUGUUUUAGUCAUCUUUGCUGCCAUGAACAAAAGACCUGACAAGAACUAUUAGAAGAGAAAAAGUUUAUUUGAGGGCUCACUGUUUCAGAGGUCUCAGUCCACAGAUGGCUGCCUUCAAUCUUUGAAACCUGAAUUGAGGCAGACCAUUAUGGCAGAAUAGUAUGAUUUGAGAGAAGCAGCUGGGGAUAUGACACCAGGAAGCAGAGAGAGGGAACUUUGUUCACAAGGACAAAAUAUUAUACCCUAAAGGCAUGACCCCAGGUUCCCACCUCCAGCCACACCCUGCUUGCCUAGAGUUGCCAUUCAUUUAAUCCCUAUCAAUGGAUUAAAACAUUUGAUAACCCAAUAAUUUUACCUAUAAACUUUCUGCAUUGUUUUACACAUGAGCCUUUGGGGGACACCUCAUAUACAAACCAUAACACAUUUUUUUCAUAGAUGGUAUAAACAACAAUAUGUUUGACAACCAGAUCUGGUAACCAUGUAAGAAAAUAGGCACUUUUAUAUACUGAUUGUGUUACUAAAAGCUCAGUUCUUAUCUCCAAUGCCAAUCUGAUAAUUAGGACAUGAUUCUGAGAAAAAGGAAAAAGAACUUUUAUUACUUUGUUAGUAAAGGAGAAAUAGAAGUUGUGAUUCUAACUAUCGGGGGAACAGGGGACUUUUAAAGAGGUGAUUCAAAGGCUAUGUUCCUGCAGUGCCCUGUUGGGUCAUAAUGCACUCGUAGCCUUGAGAGAGAGUUGUUUCUUAAGUCUUCUGGCAUAAGUCCUGAAGUCUGAAUUACUUCAUUCCCAUGGCUGUGUGCUCAAGGAAAGGUAGCUGGCUUAGGAUGGGAAGAAGUUAAUCUUGCUUGCCUCAUGAUUAGGGAGAGGGAGAAGAGAAAGGAAAAAAUGUCCAUUUUAAAAUAAGCUGCAGGGGCAGAGCAGUCAGGAUUAUGUUCAAAGCAUGAAGUGGACCCCUGUUACAGUUGAGUGAGUGUAAAUCAGUGUACACUUCUUUGAGAAUAAUUUGGUAAUCUUUAUCAUUUGGAUAAACAUUUCCACUGCUAGGAAUUUACCCUUGGAAACACUUCCAAAAUUCUAAUCUCAUAACAGAUACUAGAAUGUUUUCAUUUACAAUGCAAAGAGAAAAGAUAGAACCUUGGGAACUAUCUUGGGAACCCCCAAGGGCUGUCAUGGGAGAAGACAUGUCUCAGGAGAAGGGUCCUAGGAGUUCCCAGAGGAGAGGGGCAACUCAACUCAGAAUCACUGGGUUUUUUGGCAUACCUAAUGGAAAAUAAUUUCAGCACAAGCCAGGAAAAUGUGGCAACAUAUUUAUUUGGGAAGCUAGACACACAUGCAAUGGAGAAUGAGUGCUAUCUUGAGAGUGAGAAGCCAUGCCUUGGGCUGGGGAUUCAAUAUUUAUAGAAGGGCUAUAACAGGGAACAGACUGAAGGUGGAGCCAGUUUUCCCUAUGCUUGUGUAUUUCUCUAAUUUUACAGGGCAUGUUGCUCAAGACUUACAACUGUGCUUUCUGUAUCUCUAGUGGGCAUUUCCUUUAAGAUUCAGUAUUUCUCUGAGUCCUACAUCCCUAUCUCAGGAUCGAUAUGGUUUGCAUAUGCUUUGUACCCCAAAGAUUCAUGUGAUAGAAGUUUAGUCCCUAGUGUAUUAGUGUUGAAGUGGUGAAACAUUUAGAGGUGGGGCUUACUGGAAGCUAAUCACAUUAUAGGGGUUCCACCUUCAUGAAUGGAUUAAUGCUCUCUUGAAGGCCAGGGCCAGGUCUCAUGAAAGUGGAUCAGUUCCCUCGUGGUAUGAGUCUUGUAAUUCCCCUGCAUCCUUCUUACAGGACAGCUUGCUUCUUUUGCAUGUACUCCUCUGUUUCCAUACAUGAUGAGACCCUCACCAGAGCCAAGCAGGGUGAGAUCCUCACCAGGUGCCAUAAUCUUAAAAUCCAGAAUGGUGAAUAACAUAAACCCCUUAAGAAAAUAAAGUAUUCCUGGGCAUGGUAGCACAUGCCUAUGAUCCCAGCUGCUCAGGAAUCUGAGGCAGGAGGAUUGCAAGCUUAAAGCCAGCUUCAGCAACUUAGUGAGGCCCUAAGCAACUUAGACUCUGUCUUAAAAAAUAAAGUCUUGGGAUGUGACUCAGUAGUCAAGCACCCCUGGGUUCAAUUCCUGAUACUGUAAUAAAUAAGUAAAUAAAAAAUAUCCAUCGUUAGGCAUUUUAUUAGAGCAACAAAAAAAUGGACUAAGACAGAAACUAUAUAUAGAAAAUUGAUAGAUCCAUGGGAUGGAAUAGUAUGUAGACUUAAAAAUGUAAAUAAUAAUUUUUUUUCUGCUCAUUGAGGAUCAUGAGAUUCACAUUGAUUUAUCAAAACUGCCUACCAGUUUUGGGUGUGACUCAGUGGUAUGGUGCUUUUCUCACAUGUACCCCAGGUUCAGUACCCAACAUUGAUAAACAAAACACAAACCUGCAAAUCAAAGAUUUCCUGGGGCAGUUUCCUCAGAAAUAGAAUGAAAAAGGCAUCCUCUUUUUCCCUGCCUUUACAUUAUUUUCAUUCAAGAGUAGGUCCAGGGGAAUAAAUUAUGGGGGCUGUGUUUCCUUAAUUACUCAUCUAACCAUAGCUACAUUUGAGGUUCUCCAGGACUAAAUUGUCUUUUCCAAGAGAUAUGAUUUAUUCAUUCCAUAAUCCCAAGUACUUUGCUUGUCAAAUAUACCCCUCUGCCCAAAUUAACAUUCUGCUUAUAUUCUGUAAUUUUGAUUGCAAGUUUUGGAGAGCAGAAAUCUAUUCAUUUUUUUCUCCUAAAAAAACAGGUUUUUUACAAAUGUAAAAUGAGUUCCCAAAUAUCUGUGGGAUGUGAAAAUAAGACAGUAACUGGAGCCUAAGGAUGUAGCUCAAAUGAAGAGAACUUUUCUUAGUUGCAGUUAGUUGUACUAACUAAUACAUAGGCCAGAACACACUGAAUUUCCUGAGAUUUCUCAACAGCGUUACCAAAAAAUAAUAAUAAUAAUAACAAGAAUAUCCCUAACCAUGAGCAAGGCUUUACAUAUAUACAUGCCCGGGUUUUUGGUUAUAUUCAGAACUCUAAAAACCCUGUUCCCUAUACUCCAAAUAUCUUACUAAAUCAUUCAGGGGAUAAUGAUAACAAUAUAAGAAAAUAUCUGUCCUUCUUAAAAGAGCAUUGUUAUCUUUCUUUUUCUGUAAUGGGUUUUAAUCCAGGGGUGCUCCACCAUUUUGCUACAUUCCCAGCCAUUUUUAUUUUAGUUUUGAGACAGGGUCUUGCUAAAUUGCUGAGUCUGGCCUCAAAUUUGCAAUCCUCCUCUCUCAGCCUCCUGCGUUACUGGGAUUAACAGUCUUGUGCCACUAUCCCAGGUUAGGAUUUUUAUAUUAAAAGUGCUGAAGUUACACUACAGAAACUGCUAUUCAUUUAAUUUUAUUUUUUAGAUUGAUUCUUUAGGUUGAUUUAAUUUUUAAAAUGUAUAUCUGAGGACUUUGUUCUCAACCAUGCACAGCUGUCCUUCUAAAAAUUCUCAUGAGGUAAAUAUGUUUAACCUGAUUUAAAUAUUACACAAUGUAUACAGAUACCAAAUAUUUUCAUUUCCAUUAAUAUUUAUGUACUACAGGGCUGGGGUUAUGGCUGAGUGUUAGAGUACCUGCCUGGCAUGUGUGAGGCCCUAGGUUCGAUUCUCAACACUACAAUAAAUAAAUAAAUGAAUAAAGCUAUUGUAUCCAUCUACAACUACAAAAAAAAAUUAAAAAAAAUAUGUACUCCAUUAAUAAUUAUGUUUUUUGUAUCAUUUAACAAAAAUAAAAUAGAUGUGUUGUAGAAAGCAAUAAGAAAGCAUAAAUAAAAACAAAUUUAUAAUA